UCUAAUGAAACUGCCUACGCAAGUAGUGAGGAAGUGGGGGAUGACGUCAAAUCAGCACGGUCCUUACGUCCAGGGCUACACACGUGCUACAAUGGUCGGUACAAAGGGUUGCCAAGCCGCGAGGUGGAGCUAAUCCCAUAAAACCGAUCGUAGUCCGGAUCGCAGUCUGCAACUCGACUGCGUGAAGUCGGAAUCGCUAGUAAUCGUGAAUCAGAAUGUCACGGUGAAUACGUUCCCGGGCCUU
This 244-nucleotide ribosomal RNA is filed under the name uncultured Pseudomonas sp. RNAcentral's name for it is "partial 16S ribosomal RNA". It matches the Rfam family "Bacterial small subunit ribosomal RNA", at positions 1139 to 1382 of the family's 1533-position model. Lineage: Bacteria; Pseudomonadati; Pseudomonadota; Gammaproteobacteria; Pseudomonadales; Pseudomonadaceae. The record is from RNAcentral.